UACGAAGGGGGCGAGCGUUGUUCGGAUUUACUGGGCGUAAAGGGCGCGCAGGCGGUUCUUCAAGUCAGGCGUGAAAGCCCCGGGCUCAACCUGGGAGGUGCGCUUGGGACUGGGGGACUGGAGUUCGGGAGAGGAGCGUGGAAUUCCCAGUGUAGAGGUGAAAUUCGUAGAUAUUGGGAAGAACACCGGUGGCGAAGGCGGCGCUCUGGACCGAGACUGACGCUGAGGCGCGAAAGCGUGGGGAGCAAACAGG
This 253-nucleotide unclassified non-coding RNA is filed under the name uncultured Alphaproteobacteria bacterium. RNAcentral describes it as "contains 16S-23S intergenic spacer region". It matches the Rfam family "Bacterial small subunit ribosomal RNA", at positions 524 to 776 of the family's 1533-position model. The record is from RNAcentral. Lineage: Bacteria; Pseudomonadati; Pseudomonadota; Alphaproteobacteria.